RNAcentral lists this ribosomal RNA (451 nucleotides) under Veillonella parvula. RNAcentral describes it as "bacterial SSU rRNA". It matches the Rfam family "Bacterial small subunit ribosomal RNA", at positions 28 to 458 of the family's 1533-position model. Lineage: Bacteria; Bacillati; Bacillota; Negativicutes; Veillonellales; Veillonellaceae. The record is from RNAcentral.
GACGAACGCUGGCGGCGUGCUUAACACAUGCAAGUCGAACGAAGAGCGAUGGAAGCUUGCUUCUAUCAAUCUUAUGGCGAACGGGUGAGUAACGCGUAAUCAACCUGCCCUUCAAGGGGGACAACAGUUGGAAACGACUGCUAAUACCGCAUACGAUCUAACCUCGGCAUCGAGGAUAGAUGAAAGGUGGCCUCUACAUGUAAGCUAUCACUGAAGGAGGGGAUUGCGUCUGAUUAGCUAUUUGGAGGGGUAACGGCCCACCAAGGCGAUGAUCAGUAGCCGGUCUGAGAGGAUGAACGGCCACAUUGGGACUGAGACACGGCCCAGACUCCUACGGGAGGCAGCAGUGGGGAAUCUUCCGCAAUGGACGAAAGUCUGACGGAGCAACGCCGCGUGAGUGAUGACGGCCUUCGGGUUGUAAAGCUCUGUUAAUCGGGACGAAAGGCCUUUC